GGGGAAUUUUGGACAAUGGGGGCAACCCUGAUCCAGCCAUCCCGCGUGUGCGAUGAAGGCCUUCGGGUUGUAAAGCACUUUUGGCAGGGAAGAAACGCCUCGCCCUAAUACGGGGAGGAACUGACGGUACCUGCAGAAUAAGCACCGGCUAACUACGUGCCAGCAGCCGCGGUAAUACGUAGGGUGCAAGCGUUAAUCGGAAUUACUGGGCGUAAAGCGUGCGCAGGCGGUUUGGAAAGAAAGGUGUGAAAUCCCAGAGCUUAACUUUGGAACUGCACUUUUAACUGCCAGGCUAGAGUAUGUCAGAGGGGGGUAGAAUUCCACGUGUAGCAGUGAAAUGCGUAGAGAUGUGGAGGAAUACCGAUGGCGAAGGCAGCCCCCUGGGAUAAUACUGACGCUCAUGCACGAAAGCGUGGGGAGCAAAC
This 425-nucleotide ribosomal RNA is filed under the name uncultured bacterium. Its description in RNAcentral is "bacterial SSU rRNA". It matches the Rfam family "Bacterial small subunit ribosomal RNA", at positions 356 to 773 of the family's 1533-position model. The record is from RNAcentral.